GUUGUUUCUUCAUCCGAAGCGUUGCUCUUAUACCUCCCACCUGGGUUGCUUGAAUUCUUCAAAUCUAGAUUUCAAGGUGAUGCAGGAGAGAAAAAGCAAAAGCAAAGGAACAAACCUGGCAGCAGGAAUCCAAUAUCCUCCUACGUUUAUGAUGGAAGUCACCAUCAGGAUGGAGACAGAAUAUUAACCUAUACAUUGCAAAAUGAGGAGAACAGCAAACUCAACAAGGGUUCCAGCAAUCUACAAACAGUCUUCUCUCCAGCCCACGAUAAGUGAUGGAAAGUCUACAGGUAGCAAAAUAACCAACAACCUUCAUUUCUCACCAUACUAAGCAAUCAACGUGCCAUAAUGAAAAUAAGAAUCGCCUAGGCAGCAACAAUGCACAACAUGCAGGUCUUGGUCUACCUUUGAAAAGUCAGCAGGAUAUCACCAUGCAGCCAGCUAAAAACAAGGAAAAAAUGUUCCAAGGACAAGGUGAACUGUAGGACAGACUUGUUAAUAAUUCAUCCCCCCUUGGAUCCACAUUUUAAGGUACUGAAGGAAUUUGUGAGAAUCAGGGAAGUUGAAAGCAAUGCUGUCAGGAGACAAGACUCCAUUAUGAGUUUAGACUCCCAAGACGGAAUAGUCACAGCUAAUAGUCAGACUGACAUACAUCUAUCCUCUUUAGGAAACAACAGUUGCAUCAACAGAAGAGACCUGAUAGUUUCAAUGAUGAUGAGAUAGAGCAGUGGUUCCCUCUGGGUAACCCAGAUGUUCUUGGAUUGUAAUUCCCAGAGG
Non-coding RNA from Pogona vitticeps (central bearded dragon), 777 nucleotides. The record is from RefSeq and is a predicted model, not a curated record. NCBI's taxonomy places the organism in Eukaryota, Metazoa, Chordata, Lepidosauria, Squamata, Agamidae.